GAACGGAUGACCUGCUUGCUGGGCUUCCCAUUACUAAUUCUUGAGACAUGAGGCUGACUGAUAGAGGAAUUGUCUUACUGAGAUGGAUGAGCCUGCCUCAAGCUACCAUAAGAUGGGAGGACCGACGGUUGACUGACUCUGCCUGCUUGGUUGGCCAUUACCGAUUCUUGAGAAGAUGACGACCGCCAAGCUUGGAUGAGACUGGACAAAGAUGCCCUCAUCAGACACUUUCCAAUUUGUGGAAUAUUGGAUCACAAAUUUGCAAUAUUAUAAAACAUAAAAACGACGAAAAUACGAAUUCUUACGCCAAAGUUACCGUUAUAAUAUUAUUGGAAGAAAUAAUAGCUUACAUCACUGUUACUUGUUAACUUUACUGAGAUACCUAUAUUAGAAAACACAAGAACGUUUAAUUUUUAGGAAAAUUUAAAGAAUAAACUGUUCAGGAACUUCUAUCCAUUAAAAUGCAUUGCAACGGGUAUUAGUGACACUCAAAUUACAUUUGUGUUUGUCCUUUUGUGAUUUA
Patiria miniata (bat star) is the source of this 523-nucleotide long non-coding RNA. RefSeq lists it as uncharacterized. The record is from RefSeq and is a predicted model, not a curated record. Lineage: Eukaryota; Metazoa; Echinodermata; Asteroidea; Valvatida; Asterinidae. The transcript is spliced from 3 exons.